Long non-coding RNA from Colias croceus (clouded yellow), 983 nucleotides. RefSeq lists it as uncharacterized. The transcript is spliced from 2 exons. Lineage: Eukaryota; Metazoa; Arthropoda; Insecta; Lepidoptera; Pieridae. The record is from RefSeq and is a predicted model, not a curated record.
UCUUUGAUCGGACGUGUUUGAUAGCCACUUACUGUAAUAAAAGAACUCGAUAUUGAGGGCCAGUACUAACGAAACGCUUACCUUGUAAUCUUGUAGUGGCUUAAUCAGGGUCUAUGUGUGUGUCAACAAUGGACACUGCCAAUAUCGCAAUGUUGGUUUGUUUUGAUAGUUCGACACAUCAGAAGAAGUUCGAAUACCGCAAUUCAAAGGAGAGCACAGUUGCAGGAACUCUAGAACCUAAUUGCAGAAAAGAAUUAAAGUAAUUAAACAGAAAAGAAGAUAAACAUAAUGCACAUGGAAUUUAUUCGUUCACUUCAGCAUCCCAAAGCGCAUUUCAUUUUAUUUCCUAAAGUAACCGUACAUGGCCAAAGGUCCAUAAAUAACGCUGAAACAGCGACAAAGCAAAACCGCGUUGUAAAUAUCCCGAGUCUAUUCGCUUGAAAAAAUAAAAAGCUCCAGAAAGAAUUACAAGAAGCUAAAAAUGUGUCUCACACGUUAUCUGGUAACCACGAUUGGACAAAAUUAGUGGGCACUCGAGCAAAAGCUUAGCUGGCGAAAUUUCUUCCUACUACACAAACGACCAAUUUAUUUCUCGAGCUCCUUAACUGAAAAACGAGGAAAAACCCUCUUAAUUUCAACAGUAUAAGAGCUCACAUUGCCUCCCGUUUAGAACAUUAAAUUGGCAACUCCGUAUACCGGACGGCGACGGAAUUUCAACAAGUUGGUCCAUAGAAUAUUGCAAAUUUAAGCCCGCCGCUGAGACUCUCGUAUGCCUAUAGAUAUAAGGUUUAUUUUAGCUUGCUGGGGUAUAGACAUUAUUUGCCGUAUUUAAGGCUGUGCCGCUUGCAGCGCAGACAUUCUUGACGAAUGUUGCCAAAAACCUGGAAGGUUUUCACCUCGUUUUCGACUUCCGUUAUUGUUUCCCCGGUGUCAAGAUUGUAGUUAUAAAUUAAGGUACUAUUAAGAUGCUUGUAUGCCGCUAA